Non-coding RNA from Camellia sinensis, 245 nucleotides. The record is from RefSeq and is a predicted model, not a curated record. Lineage: Eukaryota; Viridiplantae; Streptophyta; Magnoliopsida; Ericales; Theaceae.
GGAAAGAAGAAGAAAAAGAAGAAACCCCGGUUGCCUUUGAAUGCUGCGGAGAUGCAGUGGAAAAUGUCUCAAGACCUUGCUGCUGAGAACUAUAUGAUGCCUAGGCCCUGCUGCUUAUAAUCCGCAUUUUUUACACCUUCAAAAUAUUCUGUAAAUGACAUUUGAUGUAGAAUUUUUUGUACAGAGGACAUCUUUUUUGUAUGAUUUUGUGUUUGUAUGGAAUUAUUAUUUUGGGUUGGAUUGUA